This 492-nucleotide ribosomal RNA is filed under the name uncultured bacterium. RNAcentral's name for it is "partial 16S ribosomal RNA". It matches the Rfam family "Bacterial small subunit ribosomal RNA", at positions 38 to 507 of the family's 1533-position model. The record is from RNAcentral.
GGGGGGGGGGGGGGGGGGGGGGGGGGCGUGCGGGUCGGGCGGGCGCGGGGGAGGGGGGUGCGCGUACGGGUGGCGGGGGGCGGCCGGGUGAGGCAUACAUCGGAAUCUACUUUUUCGUGGGGGAUACCGUAGUGCACGUUACGCUAAUACCGCAUACGACCUACGGGUGAAAGCAGGGGCUCUGCGUACCUUGCGCGAUUUGAUGAGCCGAUGUCGGAUUAGCUAGUUGGCGGGGUAAAGGCCCACCAAGGCGACGAUCCGUCGCUGGUCUUAGAGGAUGAUCAGCCACACUGGAACUGAGACACGGUCCAGACUCCUACGGGAGGCAGCAGUGGGGAAUAUUGGACAAUGGGCGCAAGCCUGAUCCAGCCAUACCGCGUGGGUGAAGAAGGCCUUCGGGUUGUAAAGCCCUUUUGUUGGGAAAGAAAAGCAGCAGGUUAAUACCCCGCUGUUCUGACGGUACCCAAAGAAUAAGCACCGGCUAACUUCGUG